AGUUUGAUAUGGCUCAGGACGAACGCUGGCGGCGUGCCUAAUACAUGCAAGUCGAACGCUUCUUUCCUCCCGAGUGCUUGCACUCAAUUGGAAAGAGGAGUGGCGGACGGGUGAGUAACACGUGGGUAACCUACCCAUCAGAGGGGGAUAACACUUGGAAACAGGUGCUAAUACCGCAUAACAGUUUAUGCCGCAUGGCAUAAGAGUGAAAGGCGCUUUCGGGUGUCGCUGAUGGAUGGACCCGCGGUGCAUUAGCUAGUUGGUGAGGUAACGGCUCACCAAGGCCACGAUGCAUAGCCGACCUGAGAGGGUGAUCGGCCACACUGGGACUGAGACACGGCCCAGACUCCUACGGGAGGCAGCAGUAGGGAAUCUUCGGCAAUGGACGAAAGUCUGACCGAGCAACGCCGCGUGAGUGAAGAAGGUUUUCGGAUCGUAAAACUCUGUUGUUAGAGAAGAACAAGGACGUUAGUAACUGAACGUCCCCUGACGGUAUCUAACCAGAAAGCCACGGCUAACUACGUGCCAGCAGCCGCGGUAAUACGUAGGUGGCAAGCGUUGUCCGGAUUUAUUGGGCGUAAAGCGAGCGCAGGCGGUUUCUUAAGUCUGAUGUGAAAGCCCCCGGCUCAACCGGGGAGGGUCAUUGGAAACUGGGAGACUUGAGUGCAGAAGAGGAGAGUGGAAUUCCAUGUGUAGCGGUGAAAUGCGUAAAUAUAUGGAGGAACACCAGUGGCGAAGGCGGCUCUCUGGUCUGUAACUGACGCUGAGGCUCAAA
This 775-nucleotide ribosomal RNA is filed under the name uncultured bacterium. RNAcentral describes it as "bacterial SSU rRNA". It matches the Rfam family "Bacterial small subunit ribosomal RNA", at positions 10 to 757 of the family's 1533-position model. The record is from RNAcentral.